Molecule: long non-coding RNA, 188 nt
Filed under: Cavia porcellus (domestic guinea pig)
Lineage: Eukaryota; Metazoa; Chordata; Mammalia; Rodentia; Caviidae
Description: lncRNA (ENSCPOG00000030149.1)
Source: RNAcentral
GUUUUUUAAUCAGGGCUGGAAUUUGGGAUCUUCAGCCACACCUCCAGUUCUGGAUUGAAAGUGCUACUACACCUGACUGCACUGUCUUGUGAUUCCUCCAUUAAAAUGAAGCAGAAAGGCCAAAACUUAUGAUGCAGAAACAUGGUAAGUUUGUUGCUGUAAAAACACUGAAAGAGCAAACAGCCAAA